GAAUUUGAUAUAGAUUUAAUGAAAGAUUUAAAUUUAUAUAUAUUGAAUUUAUAUUUUAUUGGGAGGAUAGUUAAAUUAAGUAAACUUUAAAAAUUAAAGUCCAUUAAUUUAUGAGUUAAUGUUUAAAGAAUGAUAAUAGAUAAUUUUGGAAGAAUUAAUUACCUUAGGGAUAACAGCGUUAUAUUUUUAGAGAGAUCUUAUUAAUAAAAAUGUUUGC
Molecule: ribosomal RNA, 217 nt
Filed under: Pheidole longiseta
Lineage: Eukaryota; Metazoa; Arthropoda; Insecta; Hymenoptera; Formicidae
Description: partial large subunit ribosomal RNA
Source: RNAcentral